This is a non-coding RNA of Paramormyrops kingsleyae, 231 nucleotides long. The record is from RefSeq and is a predicted model, not a curated record. NCBI's taxonomy places the organism in Eukaryota, Metazoa, Chordata, Actinopteri, Osteoglossiformes, Mormyridae.
GUGUCACAGAGCUGGCUAUCCUGCAUGUGAGUGCGUAGCUGAGACAAACUGUGUAAGACUGAAGGCCAUGCAGCUGCUCUCUGGCUGAUUUCACCUUAGUCCAGUUAUUGUGUUUUUGUAGCAAAUGAUGGCGCUUGGAGUUAAUUUAAUGGUGAUUUGCUUGGUAGGAGUCUACUACACUGAUGUAGGACUAAGUGCUGGCAUUGGAUUUCCUGUGAAAUGUGACUUGAG